This 253-nucleotide ribosomal RNA is filed under the name uncultured bacterium. RNAcentral's name for it is "partial 16S ribosomal RNA". It matches the Rfam family "Bacterial small subunit ribosomal RNA", at positions 524 to 776 of the family's 1533-position model. The record is from RNAcentral.
GACGAACCGUGCAAACGUUAUUCGGAAUCACUGGGCUUAAAGGGCGCGUAGGCGGGCGGGCAAGUCCGGGGUGAAAGCCCCCAGCUUAACUGGGGAAGUGCCUCGGAUACUGCUCGUCUGGAGGGAGGUAGGGGCGUGCGGAACUUCCGGUGGAGCGGUGAAAUGCGUAGAUAUCGGAAGGAACACCGAUGGCGAAAGCAGCGCGCUGGACCUCUUCUGACGCUGAGGCGCGAAAGCCAGGGGAGCAAACGGG